This 301-nucleotide ribosomal RNA is filed under the name uncultured bacterium. RNAcentral describes it as "partial 16S ribosomal RNA". It matches the Rfam family "Bacterial small subunit ribosomal RNA", at positions 509 to 809 of the family's 1533-position model. The record is from RNAcentral.
CAGCAGCCACGGUAAUACGAAGGGGGCUAGCGUUGUUCGGAAUUACUGGGCGUAAAGGGCGCGUAGGCGGCGACGAUAGUCAGAAGUGAAAGCCCCGGGCUCAACCUGGGAACUGCAUCCAAAACUGGCAGGCUAGAGUAUGGCAGAGGGUGGUGGAAUUUCCUGUGUAGCGGUGAAAUGCGUAGAUAUAGGAAGGAACACCAGUGGCGAAGGCGACCACCUGGGCUCAUACUGACACUGAGGUGCGAAAGCGUGGGGAGCAAACAGGAUUAGAUACCCCAGUAGUCCCUGUCUCUUAUAA